AACGUACGCUGGCGGCACGCCUUAUACAUGCAAGUCGAACGAAGUAGCGAUACUUAGUGGCAGACGGGUGAGUAACAUGUAGGUAUCUUCCCUUUGGUGAGGAAUAACACGAGGAAACUUGUGCUAAUACCUCAUAAGUCUUUACGGAGAAAGCUUUAUGCGCCGAAGGAUGAGCCUGCAUUUGAUUAGUUUGUUGGUGGGGUAAUGGCCUACCAAGACUUUGAUCAAUAGCUGAUCUGAGAGGAUGAUCAGCCACAUUGGGACUGAGACACGGCCCAAACUCCUACGGGAGGCAGCAGUAGGGAAUAUUGCACAAUGGAGGAAACUCUGAUGCAGCGAUGCCGCGUGAGUGAAGAAGGCCUUGGGUGUAAAGCUCUUUCGUCGGGAAGAAAUGACUGUACCGAAUAAGAAGGUCCGGCUAACUUCGUGCCAGCAGCCGCCGCCGUAAG
Molecule: ribosomal RNA, 449 nt
Filed under: uncultured Pseudomonadota bacterium
Lineage: Bacteria; Pseudomonadati; Pseudomonadota
Description: bacterial SSU rRNA
Rfam family: Bacterial small subunit ribosomal RNA
Source: RNAcentral